This 253-nucleotide ribosomal RNA is filed under the name uncultured bacterium. Its description in RNAcentral is "partial 16S ribosomal RNA". It matches the Rfam family "Bacterial small subunit ribosomal RNA", at positions 524 to 776 of the family's 1533-position model. The record is from RNAcentral.
UACGAAGGGGGCUAGCGUUGUUCGGAAUUACUGGGCGUAAAGCGUGCGCAGGCGGUUUUUCAAGUCAGGGGUGAAAGCCCAGAGCUCAACUCUGGAAUUGCCUUUGAAACUGACGAACUGGAGUACGAGAGAGGUGAGUGGAAUUCCCAGUGUAGAGGUGAAAUUCGUAGAUAUUGGGAAGAACACCGGUGGCGAAGGCGGCUCACUGGCUCGUAACUGACGCUCAUGCACGACAGCGUGGGGAUCAAACAGG